This 433-nucleotide ribosomal RNA is filed under the name uncultured bacterium. Its description in RNAcentral is "partial 16S ribosomal RNA". It matches the Rfam family "Bacterial small subunit ribosomal RNA", at positions 29 to 507 of the family's 1533-position model. The record is from RNAcentral.
AACGAACGCUGGCGGCAUGCCUAACACAUGCAAGUCGAACGAGACCUUCGGGUCUAGUGGCGCACGAGUGCGUAACGCGUGGGAACCUGCCUUUAGGUUCGGAAUAACUCAGAGAAAUUUGAGCUAAUACCGGAUGAUGUCUUCGGACCAAAGAUUUAUCGCCUUUAGAUGGGCCCGCGUUGGAUUAGCUAGUUGGUGGGGUAAAGGCCUACCAAGGCGACGAUCCAUAGCUGGUCUGAGAGGAUGAUCAGCCACACUGGGACUGAGACACGGCCCAGACUCCUACGGGAGGCAGCAGUGGGGAAUAUUGGACAAUGGGCGAAAGCCUGAUCCAGCAAUGCCGCGUGAGUGAUGAAGGCCUUAGGGUUGUAAAGCUCUUUUACCCGAGAUGAUAAUGACAGUAUCGGGAGAAUAAGCUCCGGCUAACUCCGUG